Long non-coding RNA from Cheilinus undulatus (humphead wrasse), 636 nucleotides. RefSeq lists it as uncharacterized. The transcript is spliced from 3 exons. NCBI's taxonomy places the organism in Eukaryota, Metazoa, Chordata, Actinopteri, Labriformes, Labridae. The record is from RefSeq and is a predicted model, not a curated record.
CACGAGGCUGACAUCUGCGUGCCAUUUCGGUUAAACGUUGGUCCCAGGUUGGUGUAAAGACUGACUCUGCUCAGUCUUCCUUGGAGAAUUGAUGACUUCUGUGUGACAAACAAGAACUGCUUGUUCCAGCAACGAGAAAGGUUUAAGGAGGAUUCCAAAGAUUGUGGAUACCAAAGAAGAUGAAGGAAAUGACUGUCUGACUGGCCUGCACAAAAACUGACAACAUGCACAGGAGCCAAGGAGCCACCGUGGGAGACACUGAGAAGCAGUCAGACCCUGUGGGAGGAUCAGGCAACAGAGGAUGGAGGGAUGGAGAGGAGAGCGAGGAAACUGAGGCUUGGGUGUGGUUAGAUGGAAAAUUAGGAAGACAGACACAAAGACUCUGCUAUCAAAAAUUUGUCCAUGUUGUUUUGGAUGAUGAGUUGUGUUCUUGAUUAUGACAAAGUGAGAGUUUACUUCUAACCUUUAUGGAUUAGUCACACAGAUAAAACAGGCCCUCGAAACAGAGUAAGAUGACAUCAUUUUGUUGACCUAAAACCUUUUGUUCUUCUCUUCUGCAGCGUGCUAAAUCUUUAAUAACAAGUCUAAUGUUCUGUGACAAAUAGUGAAAGCACUUUCACUCUGUGCUUUUUGUUG